AUGGCUGACACUACGAUUCUCGACACAACGUGCUCUUCCACGUUAGCUGCCAACGUGGAAUUCUCACACGCCACCGAUUCGGCUAUCGGAAUUUCGCUGAAAAAUGCGACGAUUACAGAAGCCGAAGGGGUGCCAAAUUUGAAAGAGACUGGAUACGAUUGUGAACUUGCAACGGAGGUCAAAUAUAUCUUGGCAGAGAACGAAAAAAGCUGAAAGAUUAUGUGGCAAUCAAGAAAUUUGCCAUCGAUGAUGUGGAUGAUUAUGCAGCGAUUGCGAAAGAAUCAUCAAAUCUCCGUCUAAUGCACCAUCCGAAUAUCAUUGAACUAUGUGAAUGCUUUGUCUACGAACGAUCAAUAUAUCAAAUAACACCUGCAAUGAACCUCGGAUCAUUAUUUGAUAUUGUAUUUGAAUAUAUGAAAUGGGGUAUCAAUGAGAAAUCGGCUGCUGCAAUUACACGACAACUACUCGAUGCACUUUCAUAUUUACAUCAGAGACGUUAUAUUCAUAGAGAUCUAAAACCGAAGCAUAUCCUCAUCGACUCCAGCGGCAACGUGAAGCUCUCGGGAUUCCGAUUCAUGAUCGAACUGAAUCAUCACCUGGAUUGUGUGUUCGAAUUUGAUGCUCAUCUCCAAAAUCAGCUCUACUAUUUGGCACCGGAAGUGCUCGCACAGAAUAUACACGGAUACACGUCGAAAUCCGACAUCUACAUGUUGGGCAUAUCGAUUUGUGAGGCAAUCAAUGGAGUUAUGCCUUUUGGAGAGCUUGAACCACUUGAAAUGCUCCAUCGGAAGCUUAAUGGACAGGUUCCGAGACCGGUGGACAUGAUUAGUUUGAAGGAUGAUCAGAAGAUGGGAUUGGACAUUUCCCACCGCCCCCAGGAGCACUUGACACGUCGAUUUUCGAAAGAAAUGCACGAAUUCAUCGCCAACUGCCUCGACUAUGAUCCACAACAGAGAGGCUCUGCGUCCGACCUGAAAUCGUCCGCGUGGCUCGGGUCAAAAAUUCACAAAAAUCUGGGCCCGGUAGAUGUCCGUCAAGAGCUUAACCUGGACUAUGCACAUUUCGAUUUAUCACUCUGGGAACAGGAACCACUUAUUCCGAUGGAACCCGAUCAGAAAUAUGAGAUUGUCUUUGAUUACUCGCCAAUUUCCUGA
Molecule: unclassified non-coding RNA, 1154 nt
Filed under: Caenorhabditis elegans
Lineage: Eukaryota; Metazoa; Nematoda; Chromadorea; Rhabditida; Rhabditidae
Description: Non-coding transcript of protein-coding gene strd-1
Source: RNAcentral